Molecule: ribosomal RNA, 441 nt
Filed under: uncultured bacterium
Lineage: Bacteria
Description: partial 16S ribosomal RNA
Rfam family: Bacterial small subunit ribosomal RNA
Source: RNAcentral
CCUACGGGUGGCAGCAGUGGGGAAUAUUGCACAAUGGGCGGAAGCCUGAUCCAGCGACGCCGCGUGAGUGAAGAAGUAUUUCGGUAUGUAAAGCUCUAUCAGCAGGGACGCGACGAGACGGUACCUGACUCAGAAGCGCCGGCUAACUACGUGCCAGCAGCCGCGGUAAUACGUAGGGGGCAAGCGUUAUCCGGAAUCACUGGGUGUAAAGGGAGCGUAGACGGGUGUGCAAGCCUGAGGUGAAAGGCGGGGGCACAACCCCUGGACUGCCUUGGGAACUGUACGGCUGGAGUGCAGGAGAGGUAAGUGGAAUUCCUGGUGUAGCGGUGAAAUGCGUAGAUAUUAGGAGGAACACCAGUGGCGAAGGCGGCUUACUGGACUGUAACUGACGUUGAGGCUCGAAAGCGUGGGGAGCAAACAGGAUUAGAUACCCUAGUAGUC